ACAAUUAUCAUACAAAGAAAGAAAGCGAUUACGCUUCGACAGCAUUGGUUGCAAUUUGCAUUGCAAUAUUUCUACGCUCGUACUUUCCAGUCUUCUUACAUCUGUCUCACCACAUCGUCGAUCCAUUUAGCCGAUCGAGGCUUCGAGCUGAGGGAGUCGCAGGAGAAAAAAGAGUGUUGGGACUUGACAGAACCUCAUUUGUUGGAUUAUAUUUUAUUAAUUUUUUGGCAGGUGGGGAAAAGGUUAUUUAUUGAUGUUUUUGGUCUUUUAGGGCUCUGAUCUAAUGAGUUGAUCCAUGAUUAAGAAAGAAUUUUUCCCAGGUUUUUAAUCUAAUAUUUGCUGCUCACAAUUUUAGAGCAUUUUCUUAAAACAGGUCGCCAACUUUUUGUUUAUACUUUGGUCGUGAGUGACAGACAAGUAAGCUGGCAAAGAUUUGCAAUGCUGAUAAGCAAUAAUAUUGGAUCUUAUGAUUCUCAAAUAAAAAGACCUUCAUAAUAUCACUUGCUACAUUUGGGGAAGGAAUUUGAUCAGAUGCUUGAGCAGCGUAUUGUGUACGAUCAACAUCUCUCUAUUGUCAUCGCUUGUGCUUUCGUCUUUUGUAUGAUGUUUCUCUGGGCAGGGGAGGGAACCAUGCUGUUUAGUGCAGUUUUUUUUCCGUUGUGCAUGUCUCCUAGUAGGUAGAGUAUGACCAUAUGUUCUCAAACACGCAUAGCUAUUUACUUGAGUUUGAUAUGGGUUUACUUCAUUAUCUGAAAUUUGCAGACAUUUUUUCUCGCUUGUGGUUGCAUCCUUCAUCUUUAAUGGCCAGCAGAGCUCAAAUCCAUACUAGCAACUCAGCACUCAUUGCCAUGAUUGCAGAUGAGGAUGUGGACAACUAUACUUCUGUUCUACCCCAUGGUACUCGAUUUAUCAUCUUUUUCUCAACUCAACUUUUUCUUCCAUUGUGAAUGAGUUUCAGUCGGGUGAAGUUUGACUGGAGUUUGUGGACACUGUAGUUGGAUUUCUCCUGGCUGGAGUGGGUAAUGUUGACUUACGAAGAAAGGCAAAUUACCUUAUCGUGGACUCAAGUUGCAAAUAUGAUAAGGUUUUUGGUUGAUAGCUACAACAGACCAGUUCCCGCUAUUUUAGAGAUUCCUUCUAAGGACCAUCCUUAUGACCCUACACAUGAUUAAGUUCUUUCACGAGUAAAGUACCUCUUUUCGACAGAAUCAGUAGCAUCUGGGAGGCGCUAGUUACAGAUGUUUCAGUUUUCUUGAUGCAUUCCUGCCAGACUACGUUUGAUCUGUUUCUCCAUUGCAUAUUAAGAAGAUUAUGCAGUAAGAGGUUGACCAUCCUUCUUCCUAUCUAUGUAAUCUAUUGUAAUAAUUUGGAUGCAUGUUCUAAUGAUUAUUCUAGUAAAUGAGUUUUACAAGUAAGACAAUUUUACAAAGAUACCCUUAUUUUACAACGUGUUGUGAAAUGUGAUGUGUGGGUAUUAUUACUCAAAACAAAUGACAAAUUCUAGAUAUUUGACAAA
This is an RNA transcript of Juglans regia (Persian walnut), 1516 nucleotides long. It is a transcript of the gene named V-type proton ATPase subunit F-like, with no coding region annotated. The record is from RefSeq and is a predicted model, not a curated record. The transcript has 5 exons. NCBI's taxonomy places the organism in Eukaryota, Viridiplantae, Streptophyta, Magnoliopsida, Fagales, Juglandaceae.